AUUGAACGCUGGCGGCAUGCUUUACACAUGCAAGUCGAACGGCAGCGGGGUAGUGCUUGCACUACUGUCCGGCGAGUGGCGAACGGGUGAGUAAUAUAUCGGAACGUACCGAGUAAUGGGGGAUAACCAAUCGAAAGAUUGGCUAAUACCGCAUACGUCCUACGGGAGAAAGCGGGGGAUCGCAAGACCUCGCGUUAUUCGAGCGGCCGAUAACUGAUUAGCUAGUUGGCGGGGUAAAGGCCUACCAAGGCGACGAUCAGUAGCGGGUCUGAGAGGACGAUCCGCCACACUGGGACUGAGACACGGCCCAGACUCCUACGGGAGGCAGCAGUGGGGAAUUUUGGACAAUGGGGGCAACCCUGAUCCAGCCAUGCCGCGUGUAUGAAGAAGGCCUUCGGGUUGUAAAGUACUUUUGUUAGGGAAGAAAAGGGAAGUGCUAAUACCACUUUUUGCUGACGGUACCUAAAGAAUAAGCACCGGCUAACUACGUGCCAGCAGCCGCGGUAAUACGUAGGGUGCGAGCGUUAAUCGGAAUUACUGGGCGUAAAGCGAGCGCAGACGGUUAUUUAAGCAGGAUGUGAAAUCCCCGGGCUUAACCUGGGAACUGCGUUCUGAACUGGAUAGCUAGAGUGUGUCAGAGGGGGGUAGAAUUCCACGUGUAGCAGUGAAAUGCGUAGAGAUGUGGAGGAAUACCGAUGGCGAAGGCAGCCCCCUGGGAUAACACUGACGUUCAUGCUCNAAAGCGUGGGUAGCAAACAGG
This 760-nucleotide ribosomal RNA is filed under the name uncultured Eikenella sp. RNAcentral's name for it is "bacterial SSU rRNA". It matches the Rfam family "Bacterial small subunit ribosomal RNA", at positions 28 to 776 of the family's 1533-position model. The record is from RNAcentral. Lineage: Bacteria; Pseudomonadati; Pseudomonadota; Betaproteobacteria; Neisseriales; Neisseriaceae.